This 468-nucleotide ribosomal RNA is filed under the name uncultured bacterium. RNAcentral's name for it is "partial 16S ribosomal RNA". It matches the Rfam family "Bacterial small subunit ribosomal RNA", at positions 28 to 507 of the family's 1533-position model. The record is from RNAcentral.
GACGAACGCUGGCGGCGUGCUUAACACAUGCAAGUCGAACGGAAAGGCCCUGCUUUUGUGGGGUGCUCGAGUGGCGAACGGGUGAGUAACACGUGAGUAACCUGCCCUUGACUUUGGGAUAACUUCAGGAAACUGGGGCUAAUACCGGAUAGGAGCUCCUGCUGCAUGGUGGGGGUUGGAAAGUUUCGGCGGUUGGGGAUGGACUCGCGGCUUAUCAGCUUGUUGGUGGGGUAGUGGCUUACCAAGGCUUUGACGGGUAGCCGGCCUGAGAGGGUGACCGGCCACAUUGGGACUGAGAUACGGCCCAGACUCCUACGGGAGGCAGCAGUGGGGAAUAUUGCACAAUGGGCGGAAGCCUGAUGCAGCAACGCCGCGUGCGGGAUGACGGCCUUCGGGUCGUAAACCGCUUUCGCCUGUGACGAAGCGUGAGUGACGGUAAUGGGUGAAGAAGCACCGGCUAACUACGUG